GAUGAAGAACGUAGCGAAAUGCGAUAAGUAAUGUGAAUUGCAGAAUUCAGUGAAUCAUCGAAUCUUUGAACGCACAUUGCGCCCCUUGGUAUUCCGAGGGGCAUGCCUGUUCGAGCGUCAUUAUAACCCCUCAAGCUCAGCUUGGUGUUGGGGCCUGCUGCACUGGCAGCCCUUAAAAUCAGUGGCGGCGCCAUCUGGCUCUAAGCGUAGUAAUUCUUCUCGCUAUGGAGUCCUGGUGUAUGCUUGCCAUCAACCCCCAAUUUUUCUAUGGUUGACCUCGGAUCAGGUAGGGAUACCCGCUGAACUUAAGCAUAUCAAUAAGCGGAGGA
Molecule: unclassified non-coding RNA, 329 nt
Filed under: soil metagenome
Description: partial contains 5.8S ribosomal RNA, internal transcribed spacer 2, and large subunit ribosomal RNA
Rfam family: 5.8S ribosomal RNA (bases 1-120)
Source: RNAcentral